This is a long non-coding RNA of Bombus terrestris (buff-tailed bumblebee), 7878 nucleotides long. RefSeq lists it as uncharacterized. The record is from RefSeq and is a predicted model, not a curated record. NCBI's taxonomy places the organism in Eukaryota, Metazoa, Arthropoda, Insecta, Hymenoptera, Apidae. The transcript is spliced from 3 exons.
UUGGCGGAAAGUUUGGUUCGGCAGCAAAGUUAACUCAGUUAAGUUCUCCGCUCCUAAAGCGAAACUUCGGUUCUCCAACGCCUGCCCUGCCAGCCUGGUUGCCUGCCUCUGCCUGGCUUGCUCUCCAUCCUCUCCCUUCUCUCCUUUUCCUGCCGUGUGCCUUCGCCCUUUCUCUGUCUCUCCCUUCGUCUCGCGACCGUGCUUCCUACUGUCUUGGCCAUCCUUCCUUCCUUCUAUAUCCAUUCCUACGGUGCUCCACGAAUAAGCAAUGUGUUUUGGAAUUAUCACUUUUCCGCAAACUUUCGUCACGAUGUUUCGCCGCGGCGAUCGAUCGGCAUCGACCCGCGCGCGACCGGUGUCACUCUCGUUUGCCUUCUGUGCUACUCUCUCCGUGCACCGGUCGCGUCAAUCUAGGCCCAGGCCCAGGCCCAGGCCCAGGCCAUCCAUUUUGCAGUUGGAACAAAACGUUUUCAAGUAUGUACACGCGGAUGCGGUUACGAGGGGCAAGACUUCUUUUUUCAGACUUCCCUCGAGCUGUGAGUGUUUGAAGAAAAUUUAGGAGUUUCAUGUGCCCGUUCUUGAGAGUGUUGCUCUUAAGAUGAUUUGCAUAAAUUGUUGAGCUUUCGUAUGGAUAUAAAGUUUGAGGUGUUAAAGCUAAAUGACGUAAUUAAGGCACCCUUUUCGUAUGACUAUUAUCAAUAUGAUCGAUGCAUUAUUCAUAUGUAUGGUGUACAUAUAAAAUUAAGAUUAUUAUAUGAAUUGUUAAAAGAUUAAACAUUUUGAAAAGAUACACUUUAUUAGAUAUAAGUCUUUGUGAUUAUUUCUUGUAAUAUUUCUGCAUAAAAGUUCAAGGUCAGUCAUUUAUAAAUUGAAUUCCUUUGCUACCGGCUAAAGAUUUCAAAACACAGUAUAAAAUUUCACGUGAAAAUGGUCAAAAGUAAAAGUGACUUGGAAACAGCUAGGUAAAGCCUGUAAACUUCGACGAGACGUUUCAGGAAGAAAGAUGUUUCUCCCACUUCCCUGAGAACUCUGCCCCCUCCCGCGUUCAGAGUGGCAGGCAACGAUCGAAAUUCCAAGACGAAGUUUACGAGAUUCCAAGGAAAGCGCGAGUUUCGCUCGCGUUCAUCGUUGCCUUUCUUCGCAUACGUACGUAUAUAGGAGCUUGUAAGCAUCGUUUUGUAACAGAUACCAGUCAGCAUCAACCGCGUACUGUCCCUCCUUUGAUGGUACGCCCGAGCAAAAAAGAAACCGGUCGAGUCGGUACUUACGAAGAGGUUUAGCUUUCAGGGUUCAUGUAUGUAUGUACAUAGUUUGAAAAGAAGUUACGACCGUUCUUCUGGCCAAACGGACGGAAAGAACUUUCCUGCGCCAAUAAUUUUUUGGAGCAAAAAAAUUACUCAGACGUGGAAAAGAAGCAGUUUCGUAUUUAGAUGUUUUAACUAAAUUGUAAAUGGUUUCGAUGUUGCGCAAACGUUAUUUCCUGGUACUUCUUCCAUUACUGAACUAACAUUAUCAGCAAAAUUUUACCAAUCGCGACUUGCAAGUUAUCAAUGCUCUCACUAAUAAAUUCUCUUGGAUAACAAGUCUAAUAAAAUAGUAAAACAAGCAAAAUUCUACAAAUGAACUUAACAAAUUAUUCGACAUAAAAUUGUAAAAAUUGUUUGUGCAGUGAAAGCUUGUAACAAACAACUCAUUACAUGCCAAUAUACUAAUAUUAACAAUUAGUAGUUUAUUAGUAUUUUUAACUAGUAAAUUAUAUCAAUCUUUUACAUUACAUAUAUUAAAUAUAUCAUUACUAAAUUACUGUGCAAGAGAAGAGGACACUUGCUAUUCAGUUGAAUGUAAAAUGGGAAAUUAUUAGAAAACACUCUACAAUUGUACGCUAUUACAUGGAUUAAAAUUUCUUUUAUCUUUUUAAUUUAGAUUUUUUACAAAUUUCGAAAAUGCAACUGGAAAUGCGCAAGAACCGUCUUAUUUAAAGUAGUAGGAGUGAGAUAAUUUAUUUAUAAUAAUUUGAUAACGAGAUUAUGUAGGUAGAAAUCUUUAAGUAAACAGAUAAUACAUUUGAAGAUCAUAAGAUACGCAUGAUGAUUCAUAGAAAUGAAAGAUAAUACUUCGUAGGACAUACAUAUCUACGCGUUAAAUCGAAUGUAGUAUGUAUAUAUUUAUGUGGAAAAUUUUUGAAAUUAAAUUUUUGCUCCAUCAUAUCGAAUUAACUGAUUCUUCGUCAAAGAGAAUAGAUUAAAUCCUUAUUUCAAUAAUUUAUGAUAAUACCGAUAAAUCAAUUGAUAAUGUUUAAAAGAAAAUACGGUAGCAUUCUAAUUACUCCUAAGGUUUUUCUUAAUAACGACAGCUUAUAAAUUAUUGUACAUAUCGCUUACGUUCACGCGAUAUUUUUUUUACAUACUUAUUUAAUAUGUAAAUUCAAUUCAUGAAGUAUUACUAUAUACCUGUGAAUCGUCUCGAAUUAUUUUGAACAUAAGACUAAUUUUUCCGUACCGAUAAUUCGCUUAAUAUUUGCUCUUGUAACAUACUAAAACAAUUAUUUUUUUCUUCCUCUUUGUAAAACUAAAAGGAUUUGUAAAUUAGCUCUAAUAUGAUUUUUAGAAAAUUUUAGCAAAAUAAAAAAGAUCGAGAGAAAACAGAAUAAGUAAGGAAAGGAGAAGAAAAUAGAAAAGGAAAAGUAAUAAGAAAGCAAGAUAAACAAGAAAUGGUUGAACUCUGUAAAUUCAUUCGCCGCGUCGGCCUUGAGAUCGCACUCGGUUCUGCAAAUGUCGAUGCACAUGCAAAGUGCGCUCGAAGCACGAACCUCCGUGUCUGCCUCCUCUUUUACACACUGAUCGAUAUAGGUGCACGCAUUAAUAACUUGCUGCCUUUGCACCGUGACAGUCAAAUCGGCUCAUCCAGUGACUCAUCCCGGCUCGCGAGAGUAGUAUUCGAGUUUGUGCGAGUCAACUUGGAAAACAUUUGGCUCGCUACGUUUCAGCAUCGUCCCUGGGCGUUUACCUUGGCAAACUAUUCCUCGGCAGGAGUUACGGAUCCAUUCAAGCGCCGCGCGGUUCGUGUUCGCGCAAAAGGAACAACGGCGAUAGCAGAAAAAUUCAGCGUUAAAGAUUCCCAAGUUGGUGGAAACUUUUAAUUAGCCACUGACAAAAGGCGUCGCCAGUUACGUUCGUUGAACAAAAGCGAUAAUAGGAGCAACGACGGUAAACUGACGGUACAAUCGUUCGUCGCUUCAAACUUUCAACCAGUAAUAACCUACAGAGCAAAAGCGUGCAACAGAGUGUACGUGGGAGAAAGUACAAGAGCACGGACUCGUGUCGAGUCACUACACACAUUCGUUGCAUUCAUAUCUGAAACCUUGAAGACAGAGAGAGGCCGACAGGUGGCGAAUGGAACGACUCGAGCACACGGAACGCUUCUCAAAACCGUUUAACAUCCGUUUAACAUCCCUUUAAGCGUCUCCAUGCCGGCCGACGAGUGACGUUAAAUCAGAUCUGACCGUGCGCGCGCACGGUCGCGGUCCGUUCGAGUAUUACGAUGCAAAGAAUUGUUACGGCAUCUCUUGUACGAGAGAUCCAUCCAUUCGCAUAACUCUGCCUCACUACUGCGCCGCGCGGUCGGGUUAAGAAGGACUCGAUCGAGAAGCAUACAUAAAAAGAACAAUGCCAGUGCGGCUGAAGACAUGUGCCAGCUCGUGUCUCCUUCUAUUCAUGGGUAGGGGAACGCGAUGAAUAUACCCUUGUUGAGUUUCAAAGUUACAUACACUCCGUCGACUUCGCCAACCCCUCCUUCUUUACGGUUCCCUAUAUCCUCUUCCGCUCUGAAUCAGAAUUUUCCACAUAAACCGCGACAACUUUUCUUAUUGUUUCCGCGCCCAUUCUAGACGCGCUUCACGGAAUAAAUCACUUCCAAAGAAACAAAGAAAGUUGUUCGUAAAACCUUCCAUACGCUACUACUACACACUAUGCCUCACUGGAUAUAUUAAAAAUACAAAAGAAAAAAUGAAAAGAAACAGGCUCAGCAGUAAUCAUUAUUAUCGUAAAUACGUUCAAGAAAGUACAGCGAAAUUCAGCGAAUCGACGACAAGAUUUCCAAACAAACCGGUUCGAGCUGAGAACCUCGUAGUUCUAAUUCUAGUUGAGAAGAAACUUAGCGAGAUAUUAAAUUAAUUUGAGCGCAAACGCAGUCAGGACAGAAUUUUCCCAUGCGAGAUCUAUCCAACGAAAUGAAUGAUUUCUAGAGGCACGAUAAUCUAAAGAACACAUCGUUCGGAGAAAUACACAAUACUUACACACAUCUAUCUAUGUAUAUUGUACGCGCUCGACGCGUUGAUUAGCACAAUAUCUCAAAUCAAUCGAGCAAGGAAGGACUAAUAACUCCUAGAGAAAUGAUAAUCCAUUAGCGAAGCGUAAUGACCUAUAACCCAUUAGGCGCAACGGUUACAUGGAGAACAAAUUCGUCCACGUAUUAGAGCGGCCAAUUUAUAACUUACUUCACGCUCGCUCGCGUCCCCGCGUAAGAACGUCCGAGAACGGCUCAAGUAUGUGAGAGAGUGCGCGUAUAAAAGCGACCUCACGGGGCCGCAAGUAUAUACAAACGAUUUUCUCUCUCUCCUGUAUGCGCGCGAUUCACCAGCAUGGAAGCAGCAGCAGCAGCAGCAGCACGAGCACCGAUGAGUGAGUCCCGCGUACACUUAUUUUCUCGUGGAUGUACCCAUGUACACCUACGUUCGUGCUUGCUACGUAAUACGUACGCAGAGGACAUAAAACUUGCUUCUCGUGUCUUCCCCGUCGCUCUUUUGCCUCUUUUCCCGUUCUCUCUCUCUCUCUCUCUCUCUCUCUUUGCCCUCCCUACCCCUUUCUCUUUCUGCUGUGUGAUCGUCCCCAACGUUCGUCGCGUCAGCUCGACCUAUGCGCGCGCGGCGCACACCUAUACAGAGUUACAGCGGGUUAGGACAAGUGCGUAGAGAGCGGCAGAGAGUAGUUUCAUGGAGUUUAGUUCCUCGUAGUGGAUAUGGCAUCUUGACUCCUAGUAGUGGAGUGUGGCAAGCAAUGGCCGGCCCGAUCGAUGUCUCGGCAACUUCCCACCCUCGACAGUCUGCCCCUCUCUUCACGACACGUCCCCUCCUCUCACCCUCGCCCCGCUUUGGCACCCAACUCUCCGGCUUUCCUCAUCCCAACCGUCAGACCUCCCCGUCUCGCCCAACCACCUCCCGCUGUCCCCAUCCUCCGACACAUCGAACUAAAUCCCGGAGCUGCUUACUGCUUCCAAGUCUGUUUACAAUGGCGAUGCGCUACCCCCAUUAUCCUGGGGUCGUACUUCACGUUCGGACUACAUCACCUCAAUGACGACAACGACGAGUUUCUUUUUCUCAACUUUGUAUGUUUCUUUCGAACGAUCCACACCUUUUCUCUCUCUCUCUCUCUCUCUCCCCCUCCCCUCCCCUCCACUAUCCAAUAUUCACGUAGCAGCCGUAUCUCUAUUUGUUUUAUCUCGUUUUAUAGCGCGAUUCCUGUAAUCUGAAGUAUUUCAGACAUUUCCAGGUAUAUACGCGUAUAGUAUAUUUAGCUUGGUCAAUUUACUGGAAGAUAUUCCAACGACCAUAGUUAUGUACAGCGUACUGUGGGGACCUUCUUUGACUGAGCAAUGAAUACGGAGAUACAUGAUGCGCGUCCGUUACUAUCUAACCAAUUACAUCUCGAUAUCUGAGUGAUCUAAAUGAUCGAAUGCUAAAGCAUAGUCGAUAAUUUGAAGAAGAAACAUUGGUAAUAAUCCUUAAAUGCGUAUUAGAAUAUAUGGGACGUAUUUGCAUGAUUACGAAUAACCAAUUUGUUGCAAGUAUGAUCAAUGACGUCGUUUCUUUUGCGUGUUCCAGACGCAUUGUUCCACGUUAUUUACGUAAUACAUGUGCAUUUAUCUAUUAUUAUAGCUAUCCAUGUCCGUUUUCCGCAAGACUGGCAGAAACGAAUAGCAAUAUCUAUAUUUUCAUUCCAUUGUACAGGCAUUGUAGAAAUCGAUUGCCUGUAGCCUGAAUAGCAUAGCAGUAAUUACGCUUUUCCCUAUUCUCGAUUAUUUGUACAAGAAGAAGCGGCCCAUGACGAAAAGAAAUCAGGGUGCAUACGAAACAGUUUCCAACGUUCCGCUGGCUGCUCGCAUAGAAAUUGUCAUAUAUCUUUUUCGCGAAUCUGUACGACACGCUCUAGUAUCUAUCGAAUAGCACUUGCGAGCGAUACCGGGGCACUUAGUGGUGGAGAAAAAAAAUGCCAUUGGGUCCAAUCUCGGAUUUAUAAACGUUUCUCUUUCUGUAGGUUUCCGCGCUUUAAUAUCCCAAAUGAAAAUACCUCUUUUAAUUGACUAAUUUAUAAGUAGUAUUUCUGUGUUCUUUUCAAUCGUGCUCAAAUUAAGAAAACACUCACAUAUUCAACGCAUAUGAUACUAUGAGAUAAGUUAUUAUCCUUCUGCAUGAAUACAAUUGCAAUGAAAAGCUUCAAGUCAACAUAUCCGGUGAAAUUACUAUCUGUCCGAAUCGCAUACAACUGGCAGGAAACGGCGAAAAAUGUGCCCUCUAUCGUGCAGAUUUUUGAUUACACGACAUCUAACGGAAAGCCCCGUCCUCAUGCUCGACGAAACUUGAGCGACGAAACCGAAAAGAGGAGGAGAAACCUAUAAGCUCGUCUCUCUCCCCUGAGAGAAGUAUAGCAUACCCAAUAGUUGAGUCAGGUCAGUUUGCUAGCCUUACAUAAAAGAGGCUAAGUAACGACGAAGAGAAAGAAGAUAGGAAACGUUAUAAGAUAUACACACAGGACGAACAGGGCAAACCUGAAGAGAACAGUGCUGCGGGAGAAGAGAGGCAUCGAGGCAAGGAGAGUAAGGGCAACAAGAGAACGGGUGGGGGCACCUGUUACAACCGACCAGACCGUUCUUUCGCUCUCCCUUUCCCUCUUUGUCGUGCACUCAUCCACAUGCCACUUAGGCUGUUACAUUGAAAUUUCUACGGAACGAUCGGAUAUAUACAGCGCUUCUAAAAUGAGCGAACAAAUUUUGGAUGUGUAUACUACUACCAUAAACGUUUCGUCCAUAAUGGGACACGAUGAACUGCUCGUGCUUACUAUAGACAGAGACUACUACGCUAAUCGUUUAAACGAUACGUACGUGUUUUGACUUGUCGAUACAUUUAUGUAUAUAGGGUGUUCUAAAACAGAGAAAAGCAUUUGGGAUCUAAUAGGAUAAUCUGGUUGCUUCUAAUAAAAUUUCUAAAAUUUUAUGAUUAAAAAAUAGAAUAAAUAUUAUCAUUUUUGUUAGUGUAAAAUAGUUCGUCGAGCUUUAUUUUUAAAUUCAUAUUAAGUUACCUCACUUCCUUACAUAAGUAGUAUCACCUACAAGACAACUUGGAGGAAAGUUUGAAUGACAAUAUAUAAAUAGCCAAUUCCUGGGGGCCUUAACGAUGUUCACCUUGAGGAUGGGAAAAGAUCCCAUGGACACGGAGGGGAAAUACUCCCUUUCGAGUUAUGGCUAUCUUUUGUUUGCGACAAAGGUUUGCAAGGAUAGCUGGCUAGUUUGCAAGCGUUUAAAAUUGAAAUAAGUAUUCACCGUUAACGGUUAGAAAUGGUUUUCUUUCCUAACAGAAAACUUCUCGCACGUUCUCAAGCUACUUUGAAUUCUGUCACGCGAAACUAGGAUAUAAUUUGAACAUUGGCGACGAUAGCAGUGUAAACGAACAGCUUUAACUAUCUUCGUGAAUGAGAUUACAAAUGAUAUAUUCAAAUAAUUGGAUCUUAACCAGCACCCGUCAACAAUCUAAUCGAAGUAACUAUAAUGGAGAUAAGUUAUGUAUGAUUGGGUGUAGCAGGCCAGAUUAAAGUUAUUUGACAUUUU